RNAcentral lists this ribosomal RNA (403 nucleotides) under uncultured bacterium. Its description in RNAcentral is "bacterial SSU rRNA". It matches the Rfam family "Bacterial small subunit ribosomal RNA", at positions 355 to 775 of the family's 1533-position model. The record is from RNAcentral.
UGGGGAAUUUUGCGCAAUGGGGGAAACCCUGACGCAGCAACGCCGCGUGCGGGACGAAGGCCUUCGGGUCGUAAACCGCUUUCAGCAGGGAAGAAGUUGACGGUACCUGCAGAAGAAGCCCCGGCUAACUACGUGCCAGCAGCCGCGGUAAUACGUAGGGGGCGAGCGUUAUCCGGAUUCAUUGGGCGUAAAGCGCGCGUAGGCGUCCCUUCAAGCGGCACCGUCGAAGCCGGGGGCUCAACCCCCGGAAGCGGGCCGAACUGGGGGGAUCGAGUGCGGUAGGGGAAGGCGGAAUUCCCGGUGUAGCGGUGAAAUGCGCAGAUAUCGGGAAGAACACCGACGGCGAAGGCAGCCUUCUGGGCCGCCACUGACGCUGAGGCGCGAAAGCUGGGGGAGCGAACAG